This 424-nucleotide ribosomal RNA is filed under the name uncultured prokaryote. RNAcentral describes it as "bacterial SSU rRNA". It matches the Rfam family "Bacterial small subunit ribosomal RNA", at positions 355 to 796 of the family's 1533-position model. The record is from RNAcentral.
UGGGGAAUCUUGGACAAUGGGGGAGACCCUGAUCCAGCCAUGCCGCGUGAGCGAAGAAGGCCUUAGGGUUGUAAAGCUCUUUCGCCGGGGAAGAUAAUGACGGUACCCGGUAAAGAAGUCCCGGCUAACUCCGUGCCAGCAGCCGCGGUAAUACGGAGGGGACUAGCGUUGUUCGGAAUUACUGGGCGUAAAGCGCGCGUAGGCGGAUAUUUAAGUCAGGGGUGAAAUCCCGGGGCUCAACCCCGGAACUGCCCUUGAUACUGGAUGUCUGGAGUUCGAGAGAGGUGAGUGGAAUUCCGAGUGUAGAGGUGAAAUUCGUAGAUAUUCGGAGGAACACCAGUGGCGAAGGCGGCUCACUGGCUCGAUACUGACGCUGAGGUGCGAAAGUGUGGGGAGCAAACAGGAUUAGAUACCCGUGUAGUCC